RNAcentral lists this ribosomal RNA (557 nucleotides) under uncultured bacterium. RNAcentral's name for it is "partial 16S ribosomal RNA". It matches the Rfam family "Bacterial small subunit ribosomal RNA", at positions 355 to 901 of the family's 1533-position model. The record is from RNAcentral.
UGGGGAAUAUUGCACAAUGGGCGCAAGCCUGAUGCAGCCAUGCCGCGUGUGUGAAGAAGGCCUUCGGGUUGUAAAGCACUUUCAGCGAGGAGGAAGGUGGUGAACUUAAUACGUUCAUCAAUUGACGUUACUCGCAGAAGAAGCACCGGCUAACUCCGUGCCAGCAGCCGCGGUAAUACGGAGGGUGCAAGCGUUAAUCGGAAUUACUGGGCGUAAAGCGCACGCAGGCGGUUUGUUAAGUCAGAUGUGAAAUCCCCGGGCUCAACCUGGGAACUGCAUUUGAAACUGGCAAGCUAGAGUCUCGUAGAGGGGGGUAGAAUUCCAGGUGUAGCGGUGAAAUGCGUAGAGAUCUGGAGGAAUACCGGUGGCGAAGGCGGCCCCCUGGACGAAGACUGACGCUCAGGUGCGAAAAGCGUGGGGAGCAAAACAGGAUUAGAUACCCUGGUAGUCCACGCUGUAAAACGAUGUCGAUUUGGAGGUUGUGCCCUUGAGGCGUGGCUUCCGGAGCUAACGCGUUAAAUCGACCGCCUGGGGAGUACGGCCGCAAGGUUAAAACU